This 72-nucleotide transfer RNA is filed under the name Camelus ferus (Wild Bactrian camel). It matches the Rfam family "tRNA". Rfam says of the family: Transfer RNA (tRNA) molecules are approximately 80 nucleotides in length. Their secondary structure includes four short double-helical elements and three loops (D, anti-codon, and T loops). The record is from Rfam by way of RNAcentral. Lineage: Eukaryota; Metazoa; Chordata; Mammalia; Artiodactyla; Camelidae.
GAAGGUAUAGCUCAGUGGUACAGCACAUGCUUAGCAUGCACGAGGUCCUGGAUUCAAUCCCUGGUAUCUCCA